GAUGAACGCUGGCGGCGUGCUUAACACAUGCAAGUCGAACGGAAAGGCUCCUGCUUGCAGGGGUACUCGAGUGGCGAACGGGUGAGUAACACGUGGGUGAUCUGCCCUGCACUUCGGGAUAAGCCUGGGAAACUGGGUCUAAUACCGGAUAGGACGAUGGUUUGGAUGCCAUUGUGGAAAGUUUUUCGGUGUGGGAUGAGCUCGCGGCCUAUCAGCUUGUUGGUGGGGUAAUGGCCUACCAAGGCGUCGACGGGUAGCCGGCCUGAGGGGGUGUACGGCCACAUUGGGACUGAGAUACGGCCCAGACGCCUACGGGAGGCAGCAGUGGGGAAUAUUGCACAAUGGGCGCAAGCCUGAUGCAGAGACGCCGCGUGGGGGAUGACGGCCUUCGGGUUGUAAACGCCUUUCGCUAGGGACGAAGCGCAAGUGACGGUACCUGGAGAAGAAGCACCGGCUAACUACGUG
RNAcentral lists this ribosomal RNA (465 nucleotides) under uncultured bacterium. Its description in RNAcentral is "partial 16S ribosomal RNA". It matches the Rfam family "Bacterial small subunit ribosomal RNA", at positions 28 to 507 of the family's 1533-position model. The record is from RNAcentral.